GGCGAUUGUUCCGACACCUUCGCCGCGGCAUUGACGUGGGCUGGAGCGGGACAGCGAUGGGGUCUCCCAGCCGAUCGCAGCCAAGCAAACCGCGCUCCGGCAGCAGCGCCGGCGGGACCGGCGACCCGUGGCGUGCGGAGGCAGCCGCGGCCCCGCGCCUGCACGGGGAAGGGGCUGCUCUGCCCGGGUGCAGCGUGGGGACGCUGACCCACGGCGCGGGACGCUGACCCACGGCGCGGGAUGCUGACCCACAGCACAGGGAUGCCGACCCACACCGAAGCCCUGCUGCGUGGGGGGUGCCGACCGGCCAGUCCCUGGGAAUGGGGGCGCUGGGAACCUCCCUCCGCGCGCAGGGAAAUGCCCCCUGCCCUCGCGGUCUGGAGAGUGUUUAUUCGAGAGGUGAUACUUAAGUGUAAGAAAAUAAACAGGGAGCAGAUGGCACGGGGGGCCGGGGCUGCCCCCAGCCCCACGGGGCCCUCACAGCCCUGCUGGGAAAACA
Long non-coding RNA from Rhea pennata, 499 nucleotides. RefSeq lists it as uncharacterized. NCBI's taxonomy places the organism in Eukaryota, Metazoa, Chordata, Aves, Rheiformes, Rheidae. The transcript is spliced from 2 exons. The record is from RefSeq and is a predicted model, not a curated record.